RNAcentral lists this ribosomal RNA (254 nucleotides) under uncultured bacterium. RNAcentral describes it as "partial 16S ribosomal RNA". It matches the Rfam family "Bacterial small subunit ribosomal RNA", at positions 337 to 605 of the family's 1533-position model. The record is from RNAcentral.
UCCUACGGGAGGCAGCAGUGGGGAAUAUUGGGCAAUGGGCGCAAGCCUGACCCAGCAACGCCGCGUGAAGGAAGAAGGCUUUCGGGUUGUAAACUUCUUUUCUUAGGGACGAAGCAAGUGACGGUACCUGAGGAAUAAGCCACGGCUAACUACGUGCCAGCAGCCGCGGUGAUACGUAGGUGGCAAGCGUUAUCCGGAUUUACUGGGUGCAAAGGGCGAGUAGGCGGGGACGGAAGUCAGAUGGGAAAACCACG